This 23-nucleotide small nuclear RNA is filed under the name Arabidopsis thaliana (thale cress). RNAcentral's name for it is "snRNA_14145". The record is from RNAcentral. Lineage: Eukaryota; Viridiplantae; Streptophyta; Magnoliopsida; Brassicales; Brassicaceae.
UAUACUUUAUAUUAUUAUUUGUU